GGAGCGGUAGUUCAGUUGGAUAGAACACCGGCCUGUCACGCCGGGGGUCGCGGGUUCGAGUCCCGUCCGCUCCGCCA
RNAcentral lists this transfer RNA (77 nucleotides) under Candidatus Thiodiazotropha sp. (ex Lucinoma borealis). RNAcentral describes it as "tRNA-Asp". It matches the Rfam family "tRNA". Rfam says of the family: Transfer RNA (tRNA) molecules are approximately 80 nucleotides in length. Lineage: Bacteria; Pseudomonadati; Pseudomonadota; Gammaproteobacteria; Chromatiales; Sedimenticolaceae. The record is from RNAcentral.